Canis lupus familiaris (dog) is the source of this 323-nucleotide long non-coding RNA. RefSeq lists it as uncharacterized. The record is from RefSeq and is a predicted model, not a curated record. The transcript has 2 exons. Lineage: Eukaryota; Metazoa; Chordata; Mammalia; Carnivora; Canidae.
GGAGGAGUCGCCGCCGCCCUUGCUGGCUGCCGCUGGGCUCCGAGCCAUCUGUCGGGGGCGCCCCAGGGGCUCCUGCCUCGUGCCGGACGCGGGACGCCAAUCUCCACCCUGACCCUCUGCCGCCUUCACCUGGGGGCCUGCGACCAUCAGCGUCCCAUUCACACAGCGUGCGGACUGUCUGAUGCCGACGCCCUGCUUUCUAGCCUGUGUCGCCAUGGGACAGCGCUAAGGACCUGUGAUCACCGAUCCUGACUCCGGAGUGACAUCCAAUUUUGACACCAGGUCAGGAAGGUCACAUGAUAAUAAUACAGCGCUGAAGCUAA